CUGGAGAUGGACUGUGGCUGAGGCUUGUUCUUGAGCUUCUCUGUAAUUGGGUUGCCAUGAACAACCCGCUUCCUUUCUUGGAUCUGAGCUUUCCUCUUCUUCUGAAUCUCGUUGAACUUCGUCAUGGCUGGUCCCCAAAACCCUAAAAAUGUCACUUUAGUUG
Telopea speciosissima is the source of this 163-nucleotide long non-coding RNA. RefSeq lists it as uncharacterized. The transcript has 3 exons. NCBI's taxonomy places the organism in Eukaryota, Viridiplantae, Streptophyta, Magnoliopsida, Proteales, Proteaceae. The record is from RefSeq and is a predicted model, not a curated record.